UCAACCACAUACCCCUUCUCCUAUAUGACUUAAUAAUGACUUUUUAAGAAUUUCUCCUCACACACAAGGGUUUUGUUUCCCAUCACCUUUUGCCUCUAUGAUUCUAGUUCAGCCCUCUGAGGCCAAACAGAAGAGUUCUAAUUCCUCUUCCACAUAAGAGUCCAGAAAAUUGCUAUCAGGACUCUCCCCAAAACUUUGCAUUCCUUUGAUUAAUAUGCAGAACUCCCUCAAUUGAUCUUCAGUGACUCCAGACUCACCAAUCUGAACACUCUCCAGUUCACUAAUGCCCCUUGUAAAUUAUGUCAUGUAGAACCAAAUACAAUAAUUCAAGUGUCAUCUGAUAGUACAGAAGGAUGGCUAUCUCUUUAAUCUAAGAAGUGGACAUGCUUCUCUUAAGACUGCAUUAGUGGAUGGGGUAGCUCUGAAGUUCAGUGGACUGAGAACCAGGCCUAGAUAUAGGAGAUUCUGGGUUCAAAUCUGGCCUCAGACACUUCCUAGCUAUAUUAUCCUGGCAACUCACUUAAAUCUCAUUGCAUAGUAUUAAUUCUAAGGCUGAUAGGUAAGGGUUAAAAAAAAUAGUUUGCAUUAUGUUUUUUUCAACUGCCCUGGGGGAGGGGAAAGGACUGAACUACGACUCCCCUGUUACCUUACCAACUGAUAUUAAGUUUGUGGUUCUCUCAGACAUCCCCAAGAUCUCUUUAUGUAAUCUAACAUGGCAUUAAAAGUCAAUCUCCAUUUUAUCCUUUUUUAAAUCAAUGAUCCCUCAUUACUUCAACUGUUUUUCUAUGGCAUGGGUACCAGUCACUGCCCCAUCAAAGCCAUUGCUUUUUUGGGGCUUUGAACUUUUUUGUACUUAAGGAUAGGAUCUGAUAUCAUUCCACAAUAACAUUUGUCUUAUUACAUUCCAUCUACUUUGCCAGCUUCCUGAGCUACUUCUGCAUCCUAUCUGAUUCUAAUAUCCCUAUCCUCCAUUUUUUUAACUGAGUAGAACCAAGAGCAUAAUUUAUACAAUAAUGACAAUAUUCUGAAGGCAAACAACUCUGAAAGACUUGGGACCUCGGAUCAAUGCAGUGGACAACCAGGAUUGCAGAAGACCCAUGAUGAAAUAAAUUACUUCCUACACUAAAAACUACACAUUUCCUAUGAAAUCAGCUGUCUCACUUCAGAAAUGGGAAGGACUCAGGGUGUAUGUUGCAACAGAUAAUUUUUGAGCAUGGGAAUUAGAUUUCUUUAUUUGUCCAUGUCACAUUUCAGGUAUAUUCUAAUCUUGAAAGUAUUAUUAAUGUAUUAAUAUCAUAACCUAUGUGCUCAUGUACCAGAUUCAUUGGCAUGUUAGUUCUUGAUAAUUAUAUUUAAUUGGUCCUUUAUUAAUUGUGACCACUCUCCAAAUCUAUAGUCCAAAGGUCAGAAGAAUUCCUGGGUAGGCUGCCACAAGGUCCUAGUUCCCAACUUGUCAGACAAGAUUGCAUACCAGGCCACAUGCUUAAUUAAACUCCUCCUCUUCGAUCUUGUGGUUGUCAAUUGAGUCAAUGUGAAGUCUUAUGCCAUGUCACAUGAUCAUUAGCUAUCUCCCAUUCCUCAUUCCUUGAUCCUCCAAUAAAAGAUUGCGGACAUAUGUAGCUCACUCUCUCUCUCUACCACCAUCAGGGGAUCACACCAGAGGAGGCUGGAUACCAUGCUCUUUAAGCCUUGUCUCUGAGUUUUUCUUCCUUUAUUAUAUUCCCUCUUUCUCUAUAUCCCUUUCACCCAUUUUCUCCUUCUCAGGUGUCCACCCAAGAACAUAUUAUUUUGUGGCUACAGGCAGGCACAGUCCAUACUUCUCCCCAAAAUUUUAUUUUUCAUUAGUCAGAUGGGGGACAAGGGGGACAGAAAAUAGAUUUUGGUUAAUUGGAAAAAAUUAAACUAAGAAAAAGUUACUUUAGAACACAGUUUGACAAAUACAUAGCCUGCAACAUUCCCAGGUGAUGCCUAAACCAGGUGAAAAGGUAAUUGGGAAAUAGUUAACAUAAGAAAAUAUAAUAACACAAAUAAUUUAAAUGCUAAAUUAAAAUGUGGAAUUUAGGGAUCUUUAUGUACAGAUUUAGGCCAACAAAAAAUCAUCCCUCCUCUAAAGUGUCUGACUUUCCCAAGGUCACUUAUGCAUUUCACAAUUCUAACUCUUCCCCCCUGCUCUCCAUUCAAAACAUCCCCAGAAUCAGGGACAGGAAGUUGGGAUGUCCCUGAGGUUUGUAACAAUAAAGCUCCAUUAAAUAAAAAUAAAAUAAGGACAGAGAUGAUCUCUCUAUGGUCCUGCUACACACGAGUGUGAUUAGGGAAGUGGAAAGUCUGUCAUCUCUACCUAGGAGAGACAGACUAGUCAAUUAAUUAGGAAGCAGGGAUUAUACUGUAGACCCAACAACUGGAUGCUAAAGCCAAUAGAUCAGAACCAGGUUAAAUAAGACAUGCUUCCAUGCGGCAUUUUAUGCCACAAAGAGGAAAAAUAUAGGUGCAAUGGUGAAUCGCUGUGUAUAAAAGGAGACAAAGUUUAAAUUUUCCUUUCCAACUCCAGAAUUUAUCUGCUAAAGGAGAUCAAGUCCAGCCCCAUUGCAUAACCAUAGCUUAUACUCCAACCAGGACUAGAAAUACUCUUUGGGUCCACAACACAAAGGGAAAUGGACUGGAGGAAAAAGUAUGGGUCAGUCAUUGAAGCUGCAGUGCUAGAAUUUUGGGAGACAAAGAAAAUUGUAUGUCACCAGGAUGAAGACAACUCAUGUGCUUUUUGUACCUACCAUGUGAAAAGGACCUUCUCCUCAUAGCAUCAUAUUAUAUACAGAGCAAAAAUCAUCCAUUUUUCCAGAUGAAGAAACUGAGGCUGAGAAAGGAGUAGACACACUAACUACACAGAUAGUAGACAGGAAAGCAAGGAUUCUACCCAAGUUUUAAGAUUUUGAGCUCAGGGCUCCUUCUACUACAACACAUUAUGCCAUGGGACCAGGAGGGCAUAAUGUCACUAAUCUCUGUUUCACUCAUGACAGGGAAGGAGAAAGCCCAACACAAAGUUGGGAGCCCAAUCCAGCUACUCACCAUAGAUUAUAACAUUCUUGGUUGCGGUGCGCGUCAAACCAGUGAAUGAGUUGGCCGCACUACAGGUAUAAGUUCCAGCAAGACUCAGGGAUGCAAUAAAAGAAAAUGUGGCUGAGUUGCUGACAGGUUGUCCAUUCUGUAACCAAGUGAAUUGGACUGGUGGGUUUGAUGUAGCAGAACAGCUCAAGGUAAUAUUUGCCCCAAUAGGGUACUCGUCAACUGUACGGACAAUCGUGGCGGUAUCUGGGCCAUCUGGAGGAAAGAGAAGGAUUCCAUACUGAGAUUGUGGAAGAAAGAAGGGGCAUCUCCUAUUUGGGAACCCAUCAACAGAAAGAUCUUCAGAGAAGAAGCUUGCUAACUCCUAAAUCCAGAGAAUGAACUGUUUGCAGAAAAAUACCUAAACCCUUACACUACAGGAAGAUCCAGAAUGAACAUUUGGGUGUGGUUGAUUGAACUGAAGGUUGAUUGAACAAUUAUUUUGAAUGUACACUCUUCCAAAGGGAACUGCCCUCUAAUUGGCUUUUGUCAAUGCGCCCAGCAAAAACAUUCGUUUUGCUGUCUCUCUCUCUCCUCUAUUUCCCCCUUAUCUAUAAUUAUUGUAGUUUUCCUCUUGGAGGGUAAAAUUUUGUAUACACCUGCAGUUAGAAAUUUUGGGGGUGCAGGAUACUUAUAUUUAUUGAUCAAUUUGGGAGACUAGUCCCCCAAUCAUCAUCAGGGGGAUUGUGAUUUUUAAAUUCUCUCCAUCUUGCUUGGUCUAGUACCCAGGAAUGUGCACGCGCACACUACAGGGGCAUGUGCUAGCUAAUGACAAAUCGAAAACACUAACUGCCCCCCUGGGCUGUCCUAAGCCAAGCUUGAGCCACCAUUGGCAUUUGUGAGGCACGGGAAGUGAGGUAGGGAACAGCCUCUGGAGUUCUCAUCACUUCCUGUGGAGCGGGCUAGAUGACAGUUUGAUCCUGGAGCUCAAGCUUGGAGGAGCCCUGCAGACAGCUUUCCUUCAGAUCGGUCACAUGAGUAAUAAGGACUGACUCCCUUCUCUGCCUUGGCUCUCCAAGGCCUUAAACUCCCACCUUGGCUCAGCCUGAGCCAGAGAGAUUUUGAGUUAAACUCCUUUCCUUCUCUCCCUCUCUCUCUCUCUCCCUCUAAUAAUUUCUUCCCCCUGUUGUAAUUAAAUCAUCAUAAAAACUC
This is a non-coding RNA of Monodelphis domestica (gray short-tailed opossum), 4251 nucleotides long. The record is from RefSeq and is a predicted model, not a curated record. NCBI's taxonomy places the organism in Eukaryota, Metazoa, Chordata, Mammalia, Didelphimorphia, Didelphidae.